This 550-nucleotide ribosomal RNA is filed under the name uncultured bacterium. Its description in RNAcentral is "bacterial SSU rRNA". It matches the Rfam family "Bacterial small subunit ribosomal RNA", at positions 355 to 896 of the family's 1533-position model. The record is from RNAcentral.
UAGGGAAUCUUCGGCAAUGGACGAAAGUCUGACCGAGCAACGCCGCGUGAGUGAAGAAGGUUUUCGGAUCGUAAAGCUCUGUUGUAAGAGAAGAACGAGUGUGAGAGUGGAAAGUUCACACUGUGACGGUAUCUUACCAGAAAGGGACGGCUAACUACGUGCCAGCAGCCGCGGUAAUACGUAGGUCCCAAGCGUUGUCCGGAUUUAUUGGGCGUAAAGCGAGCGCAGGCGGUUAGAUAAGUCUGAAGUUAAAGGCUGUGGCUUAACCAUAGUACGCUUUGGAAACUGUUUAACUUGAGUGCAAGAGGGGAGAGUGGAAUUCCAUGUGUAGCGGUGAAAUGCGUAGAUAUAUGGAGGAACACCGGUGGCGAAAGCGGCUCUCUGGCUUGUAACUGACGCUGAGGCUCGAAAGCGUGGGGAGCAAACAGGAUUAGAUACCCUGGUAGUCCACGCCGUAAACGAUGAGUGCUAGGUGUUAGACCCUUUCCGGGGUUUAGUGCCGCAGCUAACGCAUUAAGCACUCCGCCUGGGGAGUACGACCGCAAGGUUG